Molecule: long non-coding RNA, 716 nt
Filed under: Rattus norvegicus (Norway rat)
Lineage: Eukaryota; Metazoa; Chordata; Mammalia; Rodentia; Muridae
Description: long non-coding RNA NONRATT033556
Source: RNAcentral
AUGGGCAGGAGCAAACACGGAUCACUACCUGUGCUAGGCAGUGUGCACUCUUCAUUGACUUGCAACAAUUACCAAAGCAGAGAAAGCAAGGUGGACAGUGGGUCCUUCAAAACUCUCCUUAAAGGCGACGGAAUGAGUGUGUGCAGCUCGGGUCUACAGAAUCAGCCCUGUACAAUGGAUGUGCUUCUCACCUGCAGGAAUCACCAGCUCCGAGGACAGUAAUAACGGAGAAGCACCAGUGGCUCUCUUUGUUCUCCAGAAUUAAAACGAAAAUAGAAAGAGUGACACAGGACCCAACUGAGCCUCUCACCCAGGUCCACUCUGCUCUUCACAAGGACUUGGGCCAAUAAACCCUCUCUGCUCCUUUGUUUCUCCUAAAACUGACUUUAAUAUGCAGCCAUGUGCUUCCACUGGUACCUUGAAGAUGUAUAUAGGGGAAAAUCACAGCUCCUCAGAGCCCUGGGGUAUCUGUGAAAUCCCAUAUCUAAAAUGCUGUGAUUCUAAAUGAGUAGCUUGGACCUUUGAGCCCUUCAAGGUUUAUAAUCCCUGACAGACUCUCACACACUGUCAGUUUUGCUUUCUUUGAUCAGGAUUGGUCCAAAGGCAUCUACAAUGUCUACAACUUUCUAUGAGAAAUGCCUCAGUAACCAGAGAACACUCCUGGAAACUGUCCUUCUCUUGUCAUUUUGCAUCUGCUUGGGUCGAUAACCAAUCCC